CGUUGGUCAAGCGGUUAAGACACCGCCCUUUCACGGCGGUAACACGGGUUCGAAUCCCGUACGGGUCAUCCA
This 72-nucleotide transfer RNA is filed under the name Bacillus gobiensis. RNAcentral's name for it is "tRNA-Glu". It matches the Rfam family "tRNA". From Rfam's summary of the family: Transfer RNA (tRNA) molecules are approximately 80 nucleotides in length. Their secondary structure includes four short double-helical elements and three loops (D, anti-codon, and T loops). The record is from RNAcentral. Lineage: Bacteria; Bacillati; Bacillota; Bacilli; Caryophanales; Bacillaceae.